UGGGGAAUAUUGCGCAAUGGGCGAAAGCCUGACGCAGCGACGCCGCGUGAGGGAUGAAGGUUUUCGGAUCGUAAACCUCUGUCAGAAGGGAAGAAACCGCACUGUGCUAAUCAGCAGUGCCUUGACGGUACCUUCAAAGGAAGCACCGGCUAACUCCGUGCCAGCAGCCGCGGUAAUACGGAGGGUGCAAGCGUUAAUCGGAAUUACUGGGCGUAAAGCGCACGUAGGCUGCUUUGUAAGUCAGGGGUGAAAUCCCACGGCUCAACCGUGGAACUGCCUUUGAUACUGCUUAGCUUGAAUCCGGGAGAGGGUGGCGGAAUUCCAGGUGUAGGAGUGAAAUCCGUAGAUAUCUGGAGGAACAGCAGUGGCGAAGGCGGCCACCUGGACCGGUAUUGACGCUGAGGUGCGAAAGCGUGGGGAGCAAACAGG
This 429-nucleotide ribosomal RNA is filed under the name Fusobacteriota bacterium. RNAcentral describes it as "Fusobacteria bacterium partial 16S ribosomal RNA". It matches the Rfam family "Bacterial small subunit ribosomal RNA", at positions 355 to 776 of the family's 1533-position model. Lineage: Bacteria; Fusobacteriati; Fusobacteriota. The record is from RNAcentral.